CCCCGGUCCUCUCCUGAUUAUGCUCCUAGCGCCCUACGCUGCCCCUCCCCGGCUGAUCGGCGGCGCGUCAUCGUGAGGGGCGACACCGCCCCUCCGAAGUUCUAAAUACCAGCGCCCUCCCCUGUGCAUCUCAUUCUGCUGAGAUCAGUGCUCUUGUGAUCAGCUUGUGUAUCUCUCGUUCCGCUACUCUCGUUCGCUUAUUCACCAGUGUUUUUCAACCAUGAACUUCUACAAUCUUCUCUUCGCCAUUGGUGCCUGCUGUUUCCCGACCGAACAAAUCCAGAUGUUCGAUGAACUACCUGUUGAACUCGUGAUUCAAAUUUUAAGCUUUUUGGAUCCAAAGUCUCUAUCAGUUAUGUCUCGCAUGAACAAGCGCUUAUUUCACAUUUGCAAGAACAACAAAGGUCUUAGAACUACGAUCAGAAGAUACCUUCGCAAGGAACGAAAAGAACAACUCAAGAAAAUGCCGAACCCAGUUAAAGUCAGAGUUCUCAGGAGAGAACCCGAAGACACGGAUGUUGUGUUCCAACGCCAAAAUACUAGGAGAGAAGCCGUCAUCACUCGGAAUUUCGAGCCCUCACGAGUUUCGCCAAGACAAACCGAAAGCCCGCAAGUAGUAUUUCAACGCCAAAACACAAGGAUUGGGACCGUCGUCGCUCCACAUUUCGGACGCUCGCAAGUUUUGCCAACUACAAAACGUCCCAUUGCUGCCGUCUCAAAAAAACGAUCACGUGGUGGUCAGGAAAAGAACCCAGGACCAGGACUAGCCAAGAAGAUGCGGAUUUAAUUUGUGCCCCGCAGAUUAGUUUUUAAGUUUGCUCAUUUUGUAGCUUGAUUCUGUAAAUAGCCUUUGUUUGUACAGAUUUGUAAAUUUUAUUGUUGUUAUUUGUAUAUACUGUUUUUUGUUGAAUAAAAUCGUAUGUCGUACAGCUCGUUUGCCUUUAAAAACAAAUCAAUGUUGUUUUGGGGUUUUUGGCGAAGAGUGGACUGGUAGAGCUACAGGCGAUCAACCACUAUAAAAAAAGAUGUAACGUGCCACUGCCAGGAUGCCGUAAAACGCAUUUGACUUGUAAUUAUCUUUUUUUUAUAUAGGGAUAUUGCUACUCUAAAAACUCAUCGAACAUAAAUGUUUCUAAUGUGUCGCAGUGGCCCGCAGUUUUGCUUCAUGCCAGGUUUUGCUACUAGGUGCUACUUUUUUGCGCCACUUUCAGAAACACCGUGUGUGCUGUUAGUUUCUCCAUAAACAUAACUGCUCCUGUUGAGCAAUAAAUAGUAGCACCUAAUAGCAAAUUAUGAUCCAAUUGUAACUGGCGUGAAGAGGUUCGGCAUUGUGCAGAUGGAUUGGGUUACAUUUUGCAGAAAGUAACCACUAUUUUCGGCCCAUUUUAGAAACAACAUACAUGUCAUUGGUUUCCCUAUGCAGAUAUGUGCUUUUAUGGGAGAGCCAGGGAUAGUGGUUCCUUAUUGCAAAAUAUGAUCCAAUUGGCACGCAUUUUGGAGUAAGGACAUUGGCGUGGCGUGCUUUGCGAUAUAUCGGUCUUUCCCCUUUUGAAGCUGUGAUAGAUAAUUUAUCAUUAAGGUUUGUUGAUACUUUUCCGUAGGAUUAAAUGGCCGAUCAAUCGAUAUAUCGCGAAGCACGCCACUGAGUAAGGGGCUGCUAUUUCUG
Molecule: long non-coding RNA, 1666 nt
Filed under: Bemisia tabaci
Lineage: Eukaryota; Metazoa; Arthropoda; Insecta; Hemiptera; Aleyrodidae
Description: lncRNA ENSSSA2NGG003426
Source: RNAcentral